RNAcentral lists this long non-coding RNA (8130 nucleotides) under Zea mays. RNAcentral describes it as "long non-coding RNA (ZMAY_LNC005461)". Lineage: Eukaryota; Viridiplantae; Streptophyta; Magnoliopsida; Poales; Poaceae. The record is from RNAcentral.
CAAGCCCAGGAGACAAUUCAGCACCUUCUUUUUGCUUGCAUCUUUGCUCGGCAAUUUUGGCACAAAAUUCUUAAUGCUCUUGGCUUGGGACACCUCACUCCCACAACUGACGAGGAGUCUUUUGCAGAAUGAAGGGUGAGCCUCAGGGUUUCCAAGAGCAGAAAAAAGGGCUUAACUCCUUGAUCAUCCUGGAAGCUUGGUGUCUAUGAAUCCAGAGAAACAUAACAAUGUUUGAUGGGGAGUCCCCCUCACUAUCUAGAAUUCUUUGAAGGUUCCUAGAUGAAUGUACUAGCUGGCUAUGGCAGGAGCUGAAGAGCUAAAGUGCUUAGGCUUAGUUGCAGCUCUUAGCGAGGUCGGGUCAAGUCUUGGUUCCGGUUUGUAAUGUCCUACAUUUGUAUGGCUUUUCUUCCUCUCCUUUAUAUAAGAUGUGCAGUUCUCAUGCGCAUUCAAGGAAAAAAGUACUAAAUGUACAGUAACUGAGUUCUACCUACUGAUAAUGAUAUACAAAACAACACUUCGCCAAGAUACAUGAUCUCAGAGAAAUCACACUGAAAAUUGUAAUCAGACCCUCCAAGAUAAUGCCUUGUAGGCUAUAACUACAAAAUCAUACAGCAUUGCAAAACUUAAUUCCGUUGUAACUUAAAUUGUCUGAGUAGCCUAAACCAGCUCUAACAAAUCUAGACUAGUAACACAACUUAUUCCUACAAUACUAUCUUCUUUCACUGCUACAUUAUAGAACUAUUGCUCUUUAUUUACAUCUUAACUCAAACAGACAGUAAUGAAUCAAACUAUAUACAACGAAUAAACCAGUCACCUCAUGCCUUUAUUAGGCCUUAUUCGGUUAUUCUCAUUCCAUGUUGAUAAGAUGACAUUGGAAGAAAUUAGAAAGAAUUUUGAUUCGUUAUGGAUUUAAACCCACUCAAUCCCGUUCAAUCCAUAUAGAUUAAGAUUAAAACGAACGGGCCUUAAGAUGCUCGUAACUUCCAUUGCUGUAUUGCUGCAUGCAAGGAAUGGUUGGGAAUUAUGGAUAGAUGUGGAAGCCUCUGAUUUGUCAUUGGGGAUAUCUUGUGUUUUUCGAGCCAAGCUUUGAUUGCCCUGUGUUCAUAGGUGUGCCCAUCUGCAGCAACGUAAGGAUUUUCCAUUACCUCCUGCGUCAAAAUUCAUCCAUUUAGCUGCUUAAGUGGCAAACAGGAAAAUGGAAAUGUUGAUGUAAAGUAUCUGGCCAAUUUUACCUGCAAUAUCGGACAGAAGAAGUGGCUUGGUGCAAGGAUAUUUUCGAGUUUGAGAGAAACAGUAACCCUGCUCAGGAUAUUUUCGAGCUCUGGAAGCACCACUGACUCAAGGUUAGGUCUGUCCCUGCAUUUUAAGGCAGUACACCACAACCCAAGUUUUGCCAACAUCUCAGCCUCAGCAAUUGGCCAAUCAGGUUGAGACUUGUCGAGGAUGUCUGAUAAUAUCCCCCUUUUAAUCCCUUCUUCUACACUAUUUACCAGCCCAGGUGGACGUUUGCCAGUUAGGAGUUGAAGAAUGAUAAUACCCAAAGCAUAAAGAUCUGAUUUUGGUCGAACAGUCCCAGUUAAUUGGUACUCAGGAUCCAUGUAAUACAGUGUGCCAGCGAUGACAGUGUCUCUGUACUCUGUGAGCCCUUCUGGCACAAGAUCUGAUAUGGGCUUUGCAAAACCAACAUCACCAAUUUUGCUUACGUAGUUCUUGUCCAGCAAGAUGUUCCCAGGCUUUAGGUCACGAUGGACAAUGGGCUCUGGUUUCGUCCCAUGCAAGAAAGCAAGCCCACAAGCCACAUCAAAGAUAAUUUGGAACCGAAGAAACCAAUGGAGUGGCUGCCCUUUAUCGUUGAUAAGUAGAUCUUCUAAACUCCCGUUCUCCAUGUAUUCAUACACAAGGCAUCCAAUUUCAGGACAAAAGCCAAGCAGUAAAACCAAGUUGGGAUGGUGAAGUUGGCCGAGAAUCUCCACCUGUCACACAAUAGAUCAAUGUAAUGAAUCAUUUAACCACAUGGUAUGUUAUGGUUAUGACAUAGUACAACUGAUACAAAAUCUAGCAAGUUCGACAAAGGCCAAAAAACACAUACAUGCAACUUGAGGUUUCAAAACCUAGACAAAAAAAGUAAUUGACUAUGUCCAAUGAGAAAAUCAACAACAUAUAAAUGGCCGUACCUCUCUCAAGAACUCAUCAAUCUUGUUGAUCGAAUCUUGUUCAACAACUUUAACAGCUACUUCGGUGUGGUCAAGGGUACACCUGUAUACAUUCCCAUAGCCACCCUCACCAAUCUUCUUUGCAUCAGAAAAGUAAUCAGUGGCGAGCUCUAUUUCAUGUUUCGAGUACCGCCUGCAACUUUUGCCUGUUGAUAAAAGGGCAUCCACAGCCUUAGCAUUCUCAGCCUGGUGCUUGGAAUAGGUCUCGUGUGUAAAUGCAUUUUUUGCCAUCUCAACUGCUCCAAUUGCUUCUAAAUGUUUGUUUUUCUCAUCUGGAACCGUCUGUUUCAAUACUUCCUCUCUCUGUAGUGCGUCUUGCACCUUAUUCACAUCUUCACAGCAGUCACUAGAAAAUAACUGAAUCUGAAACAGUAGAGGUUAAAUAGGCAUGUAAGUAAAAAUCUUCUGUCGAAAGGGGGAACCAAGGAUACUAACUAAAAGCCUUAAGUUUGGACUGAAAUAGUGAAUGCCACAGUAAAUCAAUAGACAGCUAUUUAAAAUAAAACUUUACUUUUAAGGGCCAUGUAGGGCACUAUCAUGCAUGACUGACCUUUUUACUAGCAUGGGCGAGAUUUCCACAAGCUCUGUCAUACAUCAUCAAAGUAUCCUUCAGCUCCUUCCUCAGUUUUUCUUCUUCAUCUAUAUGUUGGUACUGGAAAUGAAGCCAGAAAACAAAGUCAGUGAUCGUAUUAAAUUAGAGUAUUUCCAGAAAUGAUUUGAUGUAUCUGAAAGUAAGCAUUAGACAGAAUGUUCUCAAGGCUGGAAAAAAGCUCUGACCUCUUCAACUGAGCUUAAGGCAACAUAAUGAACUUCCUUCAAUUGGCCGAUAGCAUCAAAAUCUUUGUUCCUUUCUCUCCCAGGUGUCCUUCGUCCUAAACUUCCUAAGAAACCUCUUCUAUGACUUUCUGAACUUUUAACGGCGAUGGAAGAAGUGCUUAUAGAACUGCAGACUUGAGAGAAUGAGCCUGAAAUAGAAUUUUCAGAAUAUUUUGGUAUCUCAUCAUCAGCCAGAUUAUUCAAAGCCUGUUUGUCUUGUAGCCAGUCCCUCUGUAUUUGAUCAAAUGCUUUAUGACUUAUUGACUGAAUCCGAAUAGAAGCGUUCGGCUCUGUAAAGAAACAUAUAUUUGGGGGGAAAAGAAACUCAAUAUGAAUAGUAAACAAAGACAAAAGUAUUGAAGAAAAGGAAACUGAGCAAUACAUACUGCUACUUCGAGCCUGAUUUGCAAUUUUUAUUGUUAACCUGCGCCGGGACACGACAAAUAUGUUGCACGAACUUGGUACGGUUUUCAGAAUUGUAAAAGGCACAUCUUGGAGUCGUAAAAUCCUGAAAAAAAAAUAAUAGCACCACUUGUCAAUGAUUGACCAAAAAUCAAUGUGACAAAAUUCAGAAUAUAAACAUACAAACCCAUUAUUUUAGUUCUUCUCUUCUUUUGAACUGGGCGAUGCCCAUUUUUUAUUCAAAAACAAUAGCAAAUAUAUUUUUGUUAUUAUUAUGCAUUUGAAGUGAAGGGCGGGCCUGGUGCAGCGGUAGAGCCUACCGCCUAUAACUGGAAGGUCUCAGGUUCGAGCCCCAGCUUCUGCAUAUUAUGCGGGUAAGGCUUGGCGCUUAAAGAUACCCAUCCCCAGACCUCCUACGGUGUAGGAAGCCUACGGCACUGGGUACGCCCUUUAUUAUGCAUUUGAAGUAUAACUCUGCCUAUGUUGCCUUAACAUAGCUAGUCCUAAGCGCUGAUAAAGGAGGGUUGUGUUAGGCUUGGCGAGCCAACGUUAAACCUAGUCAUUCUAAUGGAGAUAAAAUCUGAAAGAAAUCCGUUGGGGUGUAAACCUCAUAGCAACGCGCCAUAUCGGAACUCGGUAUUGUGUUAAAUGGGCAAGGGUCGGAUCGUCACUCUCUUGGGUGACGUGUCAUGUCGCAAUCUACGCAUGGUCUCAAAUGAGCAAGGAUCAGGUCGCUACUCUCUUAGUGGCAUACUACGUUAGCGUCUAGGUGUGAUGAAAAAUGUGCAAUGGUCUUCGCAUCACUGACAGGUGUGAAGGGUAAGGAAGCUAGUCAAACCAACUAGGAUUCGCUUAGGUAGUUGGUGUAGGGUAUUUUACAAGUAAGUUAAGGGAGUUAGUUGAGACAGCGACUAGGAGGCAUAUAAAUAUCUUAUACAUUCAAGAGACUAAAUGAAAGGGUCAGAAGACGAAGGAGGUAGACAAUACCGGCAGGGGCAGAGCCAGAAAAAAUUUAGGAGGGACUGAACUAAACUGCUACAGUAUAUGAGGCCCUCCUACAUUAUAUUGUAUAUGGUUUAAAUUUUAGGGGGCUUCAGUGGGGCUCCAUGGGCUCGGGAGCAGUAGGAGGGCUCAAGCCCCGCCUGCCCCACCAAUACCUUCAUCACUGAAUAUCGUCUUCAAGCUUUGGUACACAAGAACUGCAAAUGGAAAUGGAGCAUGAAUUUUGAUUGAUAAGAGUCUUAAGAACGGUGUGGUGGAUGUGAAGAGGCAAGGAGAUUGGAUUAUCUUACUCAAGCUUGUUAUAGCUGAUUUGGUCUUGAACACAAUUAGUGUGUAAGCCUGCCAAGUAGGCCCAAUGAGAGUGCUAAGUGUUUUUUUCUAGGAAAACUUAAAUGGUAUGGUUAGAGAUGUACCUAUUAGUGAGAAGCUUUCGAUAGGAGACCUCAAUGGGCAUGUAGGUACAAAAAGUGCAAGUUUCAAGACGGUUCAUGGAGGUUUUGGGUAUGGUAGUAGAAAUCAGGGGGGAGAAAAAGUGUUGGACUUCAUAGUAGCUUAUGACCUAUUGAUAUCCAACACCUUCUUUAGGAAGAGAGACUUAUUUAGUGACCUAUAGUAAUGGAUAGCGUCAGAUUGACUUUGUCCUUACAAGAAGAGAGGAUAAACGAACAUGCUUGGAUUGUAAGGUGAUACCUAGAGAGUAUAUUGUCUCUUAACAUAAGUUUGUGGUGACGGUCUUAUGUUUUCAGGUGCAUGCCCAUAUGGAUAAACAAGCCAGGAUUGUGAGAACAAAGUCUUCAAGGAAAGAACCAUCAAAGAGGGCACUUGGAAGUAAGAAGAUGACACACACAACAAGUGGAAGAAGAUGGAGUAACUAAAGGGAGUGGAGGUGAAGCUAAAGACACUUGGUGGUGGAAUGAGAAAGUCUAAAAAGCUAUUGAGGAGAAGAAAGAAUGCUACAGAUGUUUGUACAAUUAUAGGAGUGUCAACAAUAUCGAGAAGUACAAGGAAGCAAAGAAGACUGUAAAACGAGUUGUAAGUGUAAAAAGGGGUAAGGCGUAUGAGGAUCUUUACCAACGCUUCAGUACGAACGAAUGAGAAAAAGACAUAUAUAGGAUGGCUAGGGUUCGUGAGAGGAAUACAAGAGACUUCAACCAAGUUAAGUGCAUUAAGGAUGAAACAGAGUAUCUCUUGGUGAAGGAUGACGAGAUCAGUCAUAGAUGGCAAGAGUACUUUGACAAAUUAUUCAAUGGGAGAAUGGGACACAACCUUUCAAUUGGAUGACUCUUUUGAUGACACUAAUAGACGAUUUGUGCAUAGGAUCUAAUAAUCUGAGGUUAGGGAGGCAAUGAAAACAAUGAAAGAGGGGUAAGGCGAUGGGCCCUGAUGGUAUCCCAAUUGAGGUAUGGAUAUACUUCAGGGACAUAGCUAUAGUAUGACUAACCAAGUUGUUCAACCAUAUCUUCCGAUCGAAUAAGAUGUUUGACGAGCGGAGAAGUAUAUUGGUACCGAUCUACAAGAAUAAGGAAGAUAUUCAAAGUAGUACUAAUUGCCGAGGAAUUAAGUUGAUGAGCCAUACUAUGAAGCUAUGGGAGAGAGUUAUCGCGCAUUACCUCAGAGGAAUAACAAGGAUAUCUUUCAACCAAUUUAGUUUCAAGGUCAACCAUGGAAGUCAUUUUCUUAAUAAGACAUGUGAUGAAGCAGUAUAGGAACAAAAGAAGGAUCUAUACAUGGUUUUCAUUGAUUUGGAGAAGUCUCAUCACAAAAUAUCAAGGAAUGUUAUGUGGUGGACUUUGAACAAACAUAAAGUUUCAACGAAGUACGUUAGACUCAUUAAGGACAUGUACAAGAAUGUUAUGACUAGUGUCCGAACAAGUGAUGAGGACACAAAUGACUUCUCAAUUAAAAUAGGACAACGACAAGUAUUAGCUUUGAGCCCUUACCUUUUUGCCUUGGUGAUAAAUAAGGUCACAAGAGAUAUAUAAGAGGAUAUCCCUUGGUGUAUGCUUUUUGUUGAUGAUGUAGUGCUAGUUGAUGAAAGUUGGGUAGGAGUAAAUAAGAAACUAGAGUUGUGACGGGAGACUAGAUUCUAAAGUUUUUAGACUCAGUAGAACUAACAUAGAAUAUACGAGAUGUGAUUUUGGCACUACACAUGAGGAAUAUGUUAGUUUAAAAGGUCAAAUAGUGUCUAGGAAGGACAUCAUUAGGUACUUAAGAUCAAUGCUAUAGAGAAAAGGGAAUAAUGAUGAAGAUGUUAGCUAUAGAAUCAAGCAGAGUGGAUGAAGUGGUGUCAAGCAUAUAUCGUUCUACAUGACAAGAGGGUACCACAAAAGCUAAAAGACAAGUUUUAUAGGAUGGCGAUUAGGCCUGUGACCUGCUAUGUUGUAUAAUGCAAAAUAUUGCCAUCCCAGUUUAUCUUUUCCUUGCAAUGAAUGUCCCUAAGUGGGUGAUUCACAAAAUUGAUAAAAUCAGAAAAGGAUUUGUGUGGAGAGGGAGAAAAGAGGUGAAUGGAGGUAGCUGCCUUGUGGCAUGGGAUUCAGUCACAAGACCUUUGAAGUAUGGUGGGCUUGGGAUCCCUAAUUUACAACACAUGUGUUGGGCCCUUCAAGCCAAAUGGCUUUGGCUUCAAAAAACAGAUCGGGAUAGGCCUUGGCUUGGCUUGUCCAUCCCCAUUCAGCAACAUGUUAAAGACCUUUUUGCUGCAUCUCUGAUUUCUCAUGUGGGAAAUGGCUCUAAUACCUUGUUCUGGACAGAUAAGUGGCUUAAUGGAUGCUCCAUCAGAGAUCUUGCUUCAGAAGUGGUGUCCAAGGUGGCUAAGCGAGCUCUUACCUCUAUGACAGUGGUUCAGGCUCUUGAAAACAGGCAAUGGAUUGCACAUAUCAACCCCCCCCCCUUUCCUUGAUUGGAAUUCAGCAAUUUCUUUUCUUAUGGGAUACUUUAGGAGAUGUGCAGCUUUCUCAGGAGGAGGACCGCCAUGUUUGGAGACAUGAGACAUCAGGGGUGUUCUCCUCUAAAUCCUGCUACAAGGUCCUUUUAUUAGGUUCUACUGUCUUUGAGCCUUGGAAGAGAUUAUGGAAGACCUGGGCUCCUCCUAAAUGCAAGUUCUUCCUUUGGUUGGCAAUAAGAAACAAAUGUUGGACAGCUGACAGAUUACAGUUGAGGGGACUGCCACACCCAGAUGUUUGCCCAAUGUGUGAUCAAGCCCAAGAGACAAUUCAGCACCUCCUUACUGCGUGCAUUUUUGCCCGGCAAUUUUGGCAUACAAUUCUUGCUGCUAUUGGCUUGGGGCAUCUCACUCCGACUGCUGAUGAGGGAAACUUUUCAGAAUGGUGGGGAAAGGUGAGCCUUAGAGUUAUCAAGACCAGGAAAAAAGGACUUAACUCUCUGAUCAUCCUGGGGGCUUGGUGCCUAUGGCUUCAGAGAAACAGAGCAGUGUUUCAUGGGGAGUCUCCUUCAUUGCCCAGGAUUCUUAGGUGUUUCUCAGAUGAGUGUGUUUGCUGGGUUUUAGCAGGAGCUAAGGAGAUCGGUAGUAUGGGCUUAGUUGCUGCCCUGGGCGAGGUCGGGUCUAGUUUCAGUACUUCUAUGUAAUUGCUUUCGGAAUUUUGUGGGUCUUUGGGAGAUUUGCUUUGCAACAUCUCCUCUUUUGUAAUGUUUCUCUUCCUCUUUAAUAUAUAAGAUGCGCAGUUCUCCUGCGCGUUCU